RNAcentral lists this ribosomal RNA (428 nucleotides) under uncultured soil bacterium. RNAcentral describes it as "bacterial SSU rRNA". It matches the Rfam family "Bacterial small subunit ribosomal RNA", at positions 965 to 1393 of the family's 1533-position model. The record is from RNAcentral.
AGAACCUUACCUGGGCUCGAACGGCCAGCUAACGAUCGUGGAAACACGGUUACUCCGCAAGGGGGUCCGGUCGAGGUGCUGCAUGGCUGUCGUCAGCUCGUGUCGUGAGAUGUUGGGUUAAGUCCCGCAACGAGCGCAACCCUUGUCCUGUGUUGCCACUCCGUAAGGAAGCACUCGCAGGAGACCGCCAGCGAUAAGCUGGAGGAAGGUGGGGAUGAUGUCAAGUCAUCAUGGCCUUUAUGUCCAGGGCUACACACGUGCUACAAUGGCCGGUACAAAGCGCUGCAAACCCGCGAGGGGGAGCCAAUCGCAAAAAACCGGUCUCAGUUCGGAUCGCAGGCUGCAACCCGCCUGCGUGAAGCUGGAAUCGCUAGUAAUGGCGUAUCAGAAUGAUGCCGUGAAUACGUUCCCGGGCCUUGUCACACCGA